UUGAGGUGGUGAGAGGAUCGGAAUGACAAGUGGAGAGGAGAGUGUCGUCAACCACCACACCAGAUGGAGCCGAGACCAGAAGACCAGCAACAACCAGACAAGAGAUAGGAGAGAGAGCUGGUCCACCGAAGAAAGGGAGGGAGGCCUGGCCUUCAGUCUUCCAACGCCCAUCAGAGGGAAAGAUUUGUCAUCCAUCGGAGCUCAGCAACACCCCGCGAAAACUCUGACAACAACAGAGACAAGAGAGGUAGAGGCCUCAACCGGAUGGGAGGGGGACCCUACAUAACACCGACAGCAAACAGCCGAAG
Molecule: long non-coding RNA, 308 nt
Filed under: Elaeis guineensis (African oil palm)
Lineage: Eukaryota; Viridiplantae; Streptophyta; Magnoliopsida; Arecales; Arecaceae
Description: long non-coding RNA (EGUI_LNC059897)
Source: RNAcentral